This is a long non-coding RNA of Lytechinus pictus (painted urchin), 234 nucleotides long. RefSeq lists it as uncharacterized. Lineage: Eukaryota; Metazoa; Echinodermata; Echinoidea; Temnopleuroida; Toxopneustidae. The transcript has 3 exons. The record is from RefSeq and is a predicted model, not a curated record.
GGAACGUGUACAGAGGAACUAGUUGGAUAUAACUGCUCGUGUGUCCAAGGAUACGGUGGGACACAUUGCGAAAAAAAUUUAACUUGUAACUCAAACCCGUGCCUUAACGGAGGAACGUGUACGGAGGAACUAGUUGGAUAUAACUGCUCGUGUGUCCAAGGAUACGGUGGGACACAUUGCGAAAAAAAUUUAACUUGUAACUCAAACCCGUGCCUUAACGGAGGAACGUGUACA